AUCAAGGCUGAGGCGUGAUGACGAGGCACUACGGUGCUGAAGCAACAAAUGCCCUGCUUCCAGGAAAAGCCUCUAAGCAUCAGGUAACAUCAAAUCGUACCCCAAACCGACACAGGUGGUCAGGUAGAGAAUACCAAGGCGCUUGAGAGAACUCGGGUGAAGGAACUAGGCAAAAUGGUGCCGUAACUUCGGGAGAAGGCACGCUGAUAUGUAGGUGAAGCGACUUGCUCGUGGAGCUGAAAUCAGUCGAAGAUACCAGCUGGCUGCAACUGUUUAUUAAAAACACAGCACUGUGCAAACACGAAAGUGGACGUAUACGGUGUGACGCCUGCCCGGUGCCGGAAGGUUAAUUGAUGGGGUUAGCGGUAACGCGAAGCUCUUGAUCGAAGCCCCGGUAAACGGCGGCCGUAACUAUAACGGUCCUAAGGUAGCGAAAUUCCUUGUCGGGUAAGUUCCGACCUGCACGAAUGGCGUAAUGAUGGCCAGGCUGUCUCCACCCGAGACUCAGUGAAAUUGAACUCGCUGUGAAGAUGCAGUGUACCCGCGGCAAGACGGAAAGACCCCGUGAACCUUUACUAUAGCUUGACACUGAACAUUGAGCCUUGAUGUGUAGGAUAGGUGGGAGGCUUUGAAGUGUGGACGCCAGUCUGCAUGGAGCCGGCCUUGAAAUACCACCCUUUAAUGUUUGAUGUUCUAACGUUGGCCCCUGAUCGGGGUUGCGGACAGUGUCUGGUGGGUAGUUUGACUGGGGCGGUCUCCUCCUAAAGAGUAACGGAGGAGCACGAAGGUUGGCUAAUCCUGGUCGGACAUCAGGAGGUUAGUGCAAUGGCAUAAGCCAGCUUGACUGCGAGCGUGACGGCGCGAGCAGGUGCGAAAGCAGGUCAUAGUGAUCCGGUGGUUCUGAAUGGAAGGGCCAUCGCUCAACGGAUAAAAGGUACUCCGGGGAUAACAGGCUGAUACCGCCCAAGAGUUCAUAUCGACGGCGGUGUUUGGCACCUCGAUGUCGGCUCAUCACAUCCUGGGGCUGAAGUAGGUCCCAAGGGUAUGGCUGUUCGCCAUUUAAAGUGGUACGCGAGCUGGGUUUAGAACGUCGUGAGACAGUUCGGUCCCUAUCUGCCGUGGGCGCUGGAGAACUGAGGGGGGCUGCUCCUAGUACGAGAGGACCGGAGUGGACGCAUCACUGGUGUUCGGGUUGUCAUGCCAAUGGCACUGCCCGGUAGCUAAAUGCGGAAGAGAUAAGUGCUGAAAGCAUCUAAGCACGAAACUUGCCCCGAGAUGAGUUCUCCCUGAGACUUAGAGUCUCCUGAAGGAACGUUGAAGACGACGACGUUGAUAGGCCGGGUGUGUAAGCGCAGCGAUGCGUUGAGCUAACCGGUACUAAUGAACCGUGAGGCUUAACCUUACAACGCCGAAG
RNAcentral lists this ribosomal RNA (1414 nucleotides) under Escherichia coli. RNAcentral describes it as "partial 23S ribosomal RNA". It matches the Rfam family "Bacterial large subunit ribosomal RNA", at positions 1549 to 2925 of the family's 2925-position model. The record is from RNAcentral. RNAcentral also lists the same sequence under 1 other name. Lineage: Bacteria; Pseudomonadati; Pseudomonadota; Gammaproteobacteria; Enterobacterales; Enterobacteriaceae.